UUAAAUCAGAUACUAGGUAAAUUGGUGUGU
RNAcentral lists this non-coding RNA (30 nucleotides) under Rattus norvegicus (Norway rat). Lineage: Eukaryota; Metazoa; Chordata; Mammalia; Rodentia; Muridae. The record is from RNAcentral.